GAACAGCAGCAACUUCCUUUGGCCUCACCAAAGUGACUUAAGCCUCCAGCAGUAGUCUUUUGGGAGUCCCUGGCUGAAACUAAGACAUAACUAAUCUCUCCUCCAUUUGCAUAUGAAAUGAUCUGCUCUGCUACAUCAUUUAGCUUCCUGACUUCCUCUUCAUGUCCUACAGAAAGGUUAAAGAAGACAGUAAUAUGUGUGUAUGAUUAUGGUCCUCAGUCUCCAAAGUUCUCUUUUCUGAACCUGGAACAAAUACAGAAAAAAGCAUUGUCCCCUUCCACAGAGAAGUGGAAGAACAAUCCACAUGAUUGACUUGCAACUGAGUAAGGACUAAGGAGCCUAAGAUUAGGAGAACCUUCAGAUAACACUUGUAAGGAAUAUAUUCCUUGAGCUUGGAAAUAAAGAGGAAGAAGAGGGAAAUGGCCA
RNAcentral lists this long non-coding RNA (426 nucleotides) under Anser brachyrhynchus (Pink-footed goose). RNAcentral's name for it is "lncRNA (ENSABRG00000001653.1)". The record is from RNAcentral. Lineage: Eukaryota; Metazoa; Chordata; Aves; Anseriformes; Anatidae.